AGGGCUUUGAGCAGUACUCGCGGGCAUAACCUUAUCUCAGCCUGUCCUCUCGGGGCACAGGUGUUCACCAGCUGGCAAAGCAGUUGCACUGCUGGGCACAGAACUGGGUUAGCCCAGUGUCUUUAACUCUGGACGCACCCCGGAAUCGCUGGGGAAUAUCUAGGCUCCUGCUAGACCCAUUCAAACAGGGUCUCCUAAGGAGAGGUUGGGCUGCUGUUCCUCCUCUCUUCCCAACUCGGGUAAUGUGGGUGAACUAUUUGCUCAGGCUGGGAGGAGUUGCGGGGGGAGCAAUGGGACAGAGAGGUGAAGAGAAGGGCUUCUGGAGUGACGCUGCCAGCUUGUCCAGCUCUGUGUGGUCCUGGGCCAGCUCCUGAACUCACUGCUCCCUCCUCUGUACACGGGAAUAACAAUCAUCAGACGCACCCCCCCCAAACACACCGGGUUGCCAUGAGAAUCAAGUGAGUUACACCCCAUGGGCCGAGACCCACACCGCGGGGGCGUGCGGUAAGUGCUUGCUACCAUUAUGAUUAUUCCACCUCUGACUUUCCCUCCAGUAUACCAGUCGUGUACGGGAUGCUCCUGUCACUCUGAACUCCGCGCUGUAAGCUCCUCGAGGCCAUGGCUUCUCAAUCUUUGAAAUCCACACUGCAGUGGGAAUGGAGUUGAAGGACGGACAAAGGAAGGAGACAAGAGACUCAAAGGACAACAGUACCCGCUCCCAGGCACCCAUUUGUUGGAUGCAGGGGCCGGAGGAGACCAGGGGCAAUGAAUCACAGACCUGCAGGUUCUUCAGGUGUCAUCCCGCAGGGCUUCGGGCGCCCUCAACCCAGCCAAGCUAUCUUGGGAAAGAGCAAAUAGGUAGUGUAGGGCGAGGACCUGGGGUUUUGGUCCUAGUCCGGUGCUCUCUUGCUACCCACUGUCUCCCAGGUUCUGGUAAUGACCCCCAACUUUUUUUGGCAUCAAGGACUAGUUUCAUGGAAGAAAAAUGUUUCCAGUAGCAAAGGUGGGAGGAUGGUUUCGGGAUUAGAUUCUCACCAGGAACACACAACCUAGAUCCCUCGUGUGUGCAGUUCACAGGAGGGUUUGUGCUCCUGCCAGCAUCUCCUGCCCUGAUCUGACCAAGGCGCAGCUCAGGAUGGACAGACUGUAAAUACAGAGGAAGCUCCUCUCGCUCACAAGCUUGCCCGCCACCACCUCCUGCUGUGUGGCCACUGACCGCCUAGGGGUUGGGGACCCAUGUCGUUUAAGUACUCGAUGGAAGAAUCCACUCCUUGGUCAGAGUUUUGCCUCCCAGCCCCAGCAAGCAUCCCAGGAUGGAACUGAAACUUGUAUGACCAUGCAGACACGCUGAGGCUCAGGCCCGGGAGCAGCAGCAGAAGAGCACAGAGCGGAGGGGUGAGCAGGGAAGGGGAAGACUCCCGCUGAAAGAAAGAAGAGGUGGGAGGUGCAGCAGUGGCAGGUGUUGCCUGCCCUUGGAUUCGCUGCAGUAGGGCCAAGCAGCUCCUUAGAAACAAAAACAAACCCCAGGAUGCAGGUUCCUGCUGUUAACAGCUUCAAACCACC
Molecule: long non-coding RNA, 1563 nt
Filed under: Fukomys damarensis (Damara mole-rat)
Lineage: Eukaryota; Metazoa; Chordata; Mammalia; Rodentia; Bathyergidae
Description: lncRNA (ENSFDAG00000031361.1)
Source: RNAcentral